Molecule: ribosomal RNA, 253 nt
Filed under: uncultured bacterium
Lineage: Bacteria
Description: partial 16S ribosomal RNA
Rfam family: Bacterial small subunit ribosomal RNA
Source: RNAcentral
UACGAAGGGGGCUAGCGUUGCUCGGAAUCACUGGGCGUAAAGCGCACGUAGGCGGAUCUUUAAGUCAGGGGUGAAAUCCCGGAGCUCAACUCCGGAACUGCCUUUGAUACUGAGGAUCUCGAGUCCGGGAGAGGUGAGUGGAACUGCGAGUGUAGAGGUGAAAUUCGUAGAUAUUCGCAAGAACACCAGUGGCGAAGGCGGCUCACUGGCCCGGAACUGACGCUGAGGUGCGAAAGCGUGGGGAGCAAACAGG